GACGAACGCUGGCGGCGUGCUUAACACAUGCAAGUCGAACGGAAAGGCCCUGCUUUUGUUGGGUGCUCGAGUGCCGAACGGGUGGGUAACACGCGAGUAUCCUGUCCUUGACUUUCGGAUAACACCUGGAAACUGGGGCUAAUACCGCAUAUGAUCUCCUGCUGCAUGGUGGGGGUUGGAAAGUUUCGGCGGUUUGGGAUGUACUCGCGGCUUAUCCGCUUGUUGGGGGGGUAGUGGCUUACCAAGGUUUUGACGGGUAGCCGGCCUGGGAGGGUUACCGGGCCCAUUGGGACUGAGAGAGGGACCAGACGCGUACGGGAGGCAGCAGUGGGGAGUAUUGCGGAAUGGGCGGAAGCCUGAGGCAGCAACGCCCCGUGCGGGAUGACGGCCUUCGGGUUAUAAACCGCUUUCGCCUGUGACGAAGCGUGAGUGACGGUAAUGGGUAAAGAAGCACCGGCUAACUACGUG
RNAcentral lists this ribosomal RNA (468 nucleotides) under uncultured bacterium. RNAcentral's name for it is "partial 16S ribosomal RNA". It matches the Rfam family "Bacterial small subunit ribosomal RNA", at positions 28 to 507 of the family's 1533-position model. The record is from RNAcentral.